GGCGGCGAUGGCCGGCACCGGGGUGGCCGCCGGUCUCGGCGGCGUGCUGGGCGGUUCGGCCCUGGACGUGGCCG
RNAcentral lists this transfer RNA (74 nucleotides) under Nonomuraea sp. TT08I-71. RNAcentral describes it as "tRNA-Glu". The record is from RNAcentral. Lineage: Bacteria; Bacillati; Actinomycetota; Actinomycetes; Streptosporangiales; Streptosporangiaceae.